AGCGAACGCUGGCGGCAGGCCUAACACAUGCAAGUCGAACGCCCGCAAGGGGGAGUGGCAGACGGGUGAGUAACGCGUGGGAACAUACCCUUCGGUUCGGAAUAACUCAGGGAAACUUGGGCUAAUACCGGAUACGUCCGGUGAGGAGAAAGAUUUAUCGCCGAAGGAUUGGCCCGCGUAAGAUUAGCUAGUUGGUGAGGUAACGGCUCACCAAGGCUAUGAUCUUUAGCUGGUCUGAGAGGACGAUCAGCCACACUGGGACUGAGACACGGCCCAGACUCCUACGGGAGGCAGCAGUGGGGAAUAUUGGACAAGUGGGCGCAAGCCUGAUCCAGCCAUGCCGCGUGAGUGAUGAAGGCCUUAGGGUUGUAAAGCUCUUUCGGCGGGGACGA
RNAcentral lists this ribosomal RNA (392 nucleotides) under uncultured bacterium. RNAcentral's name for it is "bacterial SSU rRNA". It matches the Rfam family "Bacterial small subunit ribosomal RNA", at positions 29 to 448 of the family's 1533-position model. The record is from RNAcentral.